CUUGUCUCCACGGCGUCGUUCACUGACAUCAGUAACGACUUUGCUAGCACAUCUAAAAGCGCUACAAUAUUAAAUUUCAACGAAUUAUAAAUGUAUCAGCUAUCAACUAUUAUUAACGUAUUACGUGAUAAUAUAUAAAGUUCAAAGAUGUUAAAGAACCGAUUUUAAAAUCAGUACACGCGCAGAGUCGCAAAAGCAUGAAGAUAUAAUCGAUGUACCUCGAUAGCAUGCAUAUUCUCGUUACCAUUUUAGCCGAUGAAAUUCGAUUAGGUGAUGAUAUACCAGGUCCCGGACAAAUUGGAUUGUUGACAAUGCGGUCUGUCAUCGUGCACGGUUUAUUAGCCAAAUCGAUUUUAUCUUUCUCUUAUAGAUUGAAACGAUUUGGAAUUCGAUAGAAAAAAAAAGAAAAUAGAUCUUCUUUAGUUUGGAAUACUGGAAACACCAUUAUCCUUUCUCAUUUUUCUUGUUUAAUAACACGUGAGAAGGAAUUGUACAAAAGUUUUACAUGUGUAUAUAAGAAAAAAACGUUACAAAA
Molecule: long non-coding RNA, 535 nt
Organism: Apis florea (little honeybee)
Lineage: Eukaryota; Metazoa; Arthropoda; Insecta; Hymenoptera; Apidae
Source: RefSeq, a predicted model, not a curated record